This 330-nucleotide ribosomal RNA is filed under the name uncultured eukaryote. RNAcentral's name for it is "partial 18S ribosomal RNA". It matches the Rfam family "Eukaryotic small subunit ribosomal RNA", at positions 1470 to 1796 of the family's 1831-position model. The record is from RNAcentral.
CUCCUAGACGUUCUGGGCUGCACGCGCACUACACUGACACAGUAAACGAGUUCAUGCUUCGGCAACCUUACUCGAGAGAGUUGGGGAAUCUUUGAAUCUGUGUCGUGCUUGGGAUAGACGAUUGCAACUAUUCUUCUUCAACGAGGAAUGCCUAGUAGGGUUAGUUCAUCAGACCAACCCGAUUAUGUCCCUGCCAUUUGUACACACCGCCCGUCGUUGCUACUUAUGGCUGUAAGACAGAGGCCUCGGGAGGUCUACGCCGAGCGCAAGCGAGGUGCAGGGCCAAACUUGUCCAAUGUCUUGCUGCUAGAGGAAGCAAAANUCGUANCA